AGAGGACACUUGAAGUCUGUGUUGAGAGAGAUUCAGAGAUACAGGCCCACAACCACUUCCUGGAGCAACAGAGACUGGAGAUAGUGAGGCAGCUUGGGGCCCUGUCAGGGCAGGGCAGCACGGCCUACCUGGAGACUAUGCUGCUGGAGCUAAGGGACCAAAUCAGCCAAUAGAGGGCAGCAGAGGAUACUCACAACAGGCCUGUGGAACAGGUCGCACGGGUCAAAGAGGUUAGGUCUGACUCACACAGCCCUACCCUGCCUGAGGACACAAAGGGACACAUCAACUUUGACCUCAUAUCCUCUGUGGAUGGCCCCCUCUCCUCCCAAAUAAGAGCUCUGAGGCUGGCCUACAUGCAGUCCGGUGGAUCUGUUCCAGCCAUUCUGGCCCAGGUGCAUGCCUGCAGGCUGAGGCCCACACUCUGGAGCAGCAGGCCCAACCUGGGGCUGAAACCAGCUGCAGGAGGAAGAAGAUGAAGCAUCCUCACCAGGCUGGGAACUCAGAGGUCCUCGCUGUGGAGCAGGAGAACCUGAGACUGGAGGAAGAGAUCUUCAGGAUACAAUUGCCAGGGAGAAACACUGCGGGGAAUACGGUGGGUUGUCCUCUCCAUCUAAUCUUUGUCAUGAAUAUAACAUACGCAUCAUUCUAUACAUAGAGAGGCAACAUUGCUGAUAAACAAUGACAGUAAGGAGUUAUCACAUACAGUGGGGAGAACAAGUAUUUGAUACACUGA
Molecule: long non-coding RNA, 733 nt
Organism: Salvelinus sp. IW2-2015
Lineage: Eukaryota; Metazoa; Chordata; Actinopteri; Salmoniformes; Salmonidae
Source: RefSeq, a predicted model, not a curated record